RNAcentral lists this ribosomal RNA (560 nucleotides) under uncultured bacterium. RNAcentral describes it as "bacterial SSU rRNA". It matches the Rfam family "Bacterial small subunit ribosomal RNA", at positions 97 to 671 of the family's 1533-position model. The record is from RNAcentral.
GGCGAAAGGGUGCGGAAUAGAUAGGUAACGUACUUUGGGCUUUGGAAUAGCGUUCCGAAAGGAACGGUAAUACCAGAUAACAUCAGCGAUUGUAAGGUUGCUGAUCAAAGAUUUAUCGGCCUGAAAGCGGCCUAUCUCCUAUCAGCUAGUUGGUGAGGUAACGGCCCACCAAGGCGACGACGGGUAGCGGGACUGAGAGGUUGACCCGCCACAUCGGGACUGAGACACUGCCCGGACCUCCACGGAGGGCUGCAGUAACGAAUAUUGGGCAAUGGGCGAAAGCCUGACCCAGCGAUGCCGCGUAUAGGAUGAAGUUCUUCGGAAUGUAAACUAUUGUCAGGGGCUAGAAAGCCGUAAGGUUGAUCAGCCCCGGAGGAAGUCACGACUAACUUCGUGCCAGCAGUCGCGGUAAUACGAAGGUGACAAGCGUUAUUCGAAGUCACUGGGCUUAAAGGGUGCGCAGGCGGAAACAUAAGUGUCUUGUGAAAACCCCCGGCUUAACCGGGGAAUUGCUCGGCAUACUGUGUUUCUUGAGGCAAGCAGGGGUGUGUGGAACUCUU